ACGGCCUUCGGGUUGUAAACCUCUUUCAGUAGGGAAGAAGCGAAAGUGACGGUACCUGCAGAAGAAGCGCCGGCUAACUACGUGCCAGCAGCCGCGGUAAUACGUAGGGCGCAAGCGUUAUCCGGAAUUAUUGGGCGUAAAGAGCUCGUAGGCGGUUUGUCGCGUCUGCCGUGAAAGUCCGGGGCUCAACUCCGGAUCUGCGGUGGGUACGGGCAGACUAGAGUGAUGUAGGGGAGACUGGAAUUCCUGGUGUAGCGGUGAAAUGCGCAGAUAUCAGGAGGAACACCGAUGGCGAAGGCAGGUCUCUGGGCAUUAACUGACGCUGAGGAGCGAAAGCAUGGGGAGCGAACAGGAUUAGAUACCCUGGUAGUCCAUGCCGUAAACGUUGGGCACUAGGUGUGGGGGACAUUCCACGUUUUCCGCGCCGUAGCUAACGCAUUAAGUGCCCCGCCUGGGGAGUACGGCCGCAAGGCUAAAACUCAAAGGAAUUGACGGGGGCCCGCACAAGCGGCGGAGCAUGCGGAUUAAUUCGAUGCAACGCGAAGAACCUUACCAAGGCUUGACAUGAACCGGACCGGGCUGGAAACAGUCUUUCCCCUUUGGGGCUGGUUUACAGGUGGUGCAUGGUUGUCGUCAGCUCGUGUCGUGAGAUGUUGGGUUAAGUCCCGCAACGAGCGCAACCCUCGUUCUAUGUUGCCAGCACGUG
RNAcentral lists this ribosomal RNA (706 nucleotides) under uncultured Arthrobacter sp. RNAcentral's name for it is "bacterial SSU rRNA". It matches the Rfam family "Bacterial small subunit ribosomal RNA", at positions 411 to 1127 of the family's 1533-position model. The record is from RNAcentral. Lineage: Bacteria; Bacillati; Actinomycetota; Actinomycetes; Micrococcales; Micrococcaceae.